This 704-nucleotide ribosomal RNA is filed under the name uncultured bacterium. Its description in RNAcentral is "bacterial SSU rRNA". It matches the Rfam family "Bacterial small subunit ribosomal RNA", at positions 60 to 753 of the family's 1533-position model. The record is from RNAcentral.
AGUCGAACGGUAACAGGAAGAAGCUUGCUUCUUUGCUGACGAGUGGCGGACGGGUGAGUAAUGUCUGGGAAACUGCCUGAUGGAGGGGGAUAACUACUGGAAACGGUAGCUAAUACCGCAUAACGUCGCAAGACCAAAGAGGGGGACCUUCGGGCCUCUUGCCAUCGGAUGUGCCCAGAUGGGAUUAGCUUGUUGGUGGGGUAACGGCUCACCAAGGCGACGAUCCCUAGCUGGUCUGAGAGGAUGACCAGCCACACUGGAACUGAGACACGGUCCAGACUCCUACGGGAGGCAGCAGUGGGGAAUAUUGCACAAUGGGCGCAAGCCUGAUGCAGCCAUGCCGCGUGUAUGAAGAAGGCCUUCGGGUUGUAAAGUACUUUCAGCGGGGAGGAAGGGAGUAAAGUUAAUACCUUUGCUCAUUGACGUUACCCGCAGAAGAAGCACCGGCUAACUCCGUGCCAGCAGCCGCGGUAAUACGGAGGGUGCAAGCGUUAAUCGGAAUUACUGGGCGUAAAGCGCACGCAGGCGGUUUGUUAAGUCAGAUGUGAAAUCCCCGGGCUCAACCUGGGAACUGCAUCUGAUACUGGCAAGCUUGAGUCUCGUAGAGGGGGGUAGAAUUCCAGGUGUAGCGGUGAAAUGCGUAGAGAUCUGGAGGAAUACCGGUGGCGAAGGCGGUCCCCUGGACGAAGACUGACGCUCAGGUG